UCAGGCUGCACUUGUGAGACCCGAACUCACUAAAUGCUCUUGGAGUUCCAGUGAGGUUGUUUUUCUCUUAGAAGACUUAUUUGUUAUGUUGAAUGUCGUGUCUCCAGGAGGAACCCAAAUGUCAGUCUCUGCUUCCUGGUUUGCCCCUGUGCUCCUAUCUCAUGGCUAGAGCUGAAGAAGACGGAGUAAAACUUUGCAUAUGGAAACCAGAGCUUCAGAGAGUUGAAGCAGCGUGCCCCUGAAUGUUGAAGAUAUAUGAACUUGAUGACAGAGUUGUUCAAGGUGAAGGUAACUGACCUCGGUCUCCAGCUGCUUCAGGUGUCAUCUAGAAACAGUAUUGAAGAUGGCAAGACGUAGAGGCACACCUGUGACCCACUCAUACUAAAGUGUACUUAAGACUACAAGAUGAGGAAGUUGUAGAUGCGAAGUCAUGUUUAUCUGAUAUUUGAUUCCACAUUAAAAAUAAAUUCUAGUGUUUCUGGAGACAGUU
This is a long non-coding RNA of Myodes glareolus (Bank vole), 490 nucleotides long. RefSeq lists it as uncharacterized. Lineage: Eukaryota; Metazoa; Chordata; Mammalia; Rodentia; Cricetidae. The record is from RefSeq and is a predicted model, not a curated record.